Bombus huntii is the source of this 1108-nucleotide long non-coding RNA. RefSeq lists it as uncharacterized. The record is from RefSeq and is a predicted model, not a curated record. The transcript has 3 exons. NCBI's taxonomy places the organism in Eukaryota, Metazoa, Arthropoda, Insecta, Hymenoptera, Apidae.
AAAUUUCCAUUCAGCCAAAGGUGUACUUACAGAUUAUAGAUUCCUAUACGACUCUCAGUAAAAAUUUAUCCGCACUCCAGAUAGUUAAAACUUCUGUCGACCGUAUUGAUCCAUCUGCACUCUUCGUAUGACGUCAAUAUCUGUUCAGUGCUGCUGCGCAGGUUUCUUUGUGUUACGUCAAUUCGUUUGUGACCGUUGCGCGAGUAAUGGCGCUUUGCAAUGGUGAUUUGCAGGAAAACAGUGCAGGAUGCUGUGAUUCGUUUCUUGUGGUCGGAGGUUAUGUUUGAUGCCUAUAUUUAUCAAAGAUUUAAUGCACAUUAUGGAGAAAGUGUUUUGUCACGAAGUGUGUUUGAAUGGGCACAAAAGUUCAAAGAAGAUCGCACGAGUGUUAUGAAAAAACAGCUGGACGCCCGUCCACAUCCACGAUGACAACAUUGAACGUGCUCAUGAACUUAUGCUCUAUGGAAUAGACGAGUGACACUGGAUAAUGUGGCAAAUCAUUUGCAAAUCAGCCACGGCUCUGCUUAUGCAAUAGUGCACGACAGAUUUGGAUUUUAAAAAGUUUGUGCGAGAUGGAUGCCGAAAAAGCUGAUGAAAAGGUGAAGACGACGAUGCAUUCGUGGUUCGCAGCUCAGCCCAAAACAUUUUUUAAUGAGAAAAUACAAAGGUCCUUCGGCAAAUGGACAAAGUGUAUACAGAAAUCGAGUGAUUAUGUCAAAAAAUGAUGUAUGUCUUUUUUGACAAUUGCUUAAAAUAAAUUCUACACCGACAGAGCGGGCUGUUAAUCUAGAGGCUGGAGUACAAAGAAGUGGCACAAUGAUGUGGGCUGAUGACAUUUAUAAUUAUCAAGGAAUCACCCCUACAUUCGCUCAGAAUUUUAAUGAAACUGUCCCUUGGGAAGGAAGAACUGAUACCUUGAUAUCACGGUUUGUACAUCCUAUAUAUACGACAAAUUUUAGAACAUUAUAUAACGAAGAACCAGAUCGUCGUGGCCAUGUGAUGUGAAUAAAAGGACUUGAAUUUGAUGAUAUUUUUAUAAUGUUAGAUAACAUAACUAAGUAUCUUCACAGUAAGAUAGGAUGACAUGGUUUACAUGAUCUUAAUGUUG